Molecule: microRNA precursor, 60 nt
Organism: Oreochromis aureus
Lineage: Eukaryota; Metazoa; Chordata; Actinopteri; Cichliformes; Cichlidae
Source: Ensembl
CGGGUGCUGCUGUCUGCUGUCGUGUCGCACCACCAGAGCAGCAAGCUGCAACACCUCACU